Molecule: transfer RNA, 77 nt
Filed under: Alphaproteobacteria bacterium
Lineage: Bacteria; Pseudomonadati; Pseudomonadota; Alphaproteobacteria
Description: tRNA-His
Rfam family: tRNA
About the family: Transfer RNA (tRNA) molecules are approximately 80 nucleotides in length. Their secondary structure includes four short double-helical elements and three loops (D, anti-codon, and T loops).
Source: RNAcentral
GCGGGUGUAGCUCAGUUGGUUAGAGCGCCAGUUUGUGGCAUUGGAGGUCGCCGGUUCAAUUCCGGUCACUCGCCCCA